GUGGGUUAAAGCCUCUGCCUUUGGCUCAGGUCAUGAUCCCAGGGUCCUGGGAUUGAGCCCCGCAUCGGGCUCUCUGAUCAGUGGGGAGCCUGCUUACUCCUCUCUCUCUGCCUACUUGUGAUCUGUCAAAUAAAUAAAUAAAACUUUUUUAAAAAAAUUAUAAAAACAAUAAAAAAAAGAUUAAGGGAACCAAGAGCUGGUUCCUUGAAAAGAUAAAGUAAAUAAACUUUUAGACAGACUUAUCAAGGCAAAAAGAGGACUCAAAUAAUCAGAAAUGAUCAAGAACUUAUGGGCACCUGGGUGGCUCAGUAGGUUAAGCGACUGCCUUCAGCUCAGGUCAUGAUCCUGGAGCCCAGGGAUCGAGUCCCACAUCGGCUUCUUGCUGAGUCUGCUUCUCCCUCUACCCUCCCCCUUCUCAUGCUCUCUCAUUCUCUCUCUCUCUCUCAAAUAAAUAAAUAAAAUCUUAGAAAAGAAAGAGGCCUUACAACUGACACCACAGAAAUAUAAAGGAUUAAUUAUAUACCAACAAACUGGACAACCUAGAAGAAAUGGAUAAUUUCUUAGAAAAAUAUAACCUUCCAAGACCGGAUCACAACGAAAUAGGAAAUUUGUACAGACUAUUUACUAGUCACAAAACUAAAUCAGUAACCAAGAAACUCCCAACAGGGGGAGUCUGGGUUGCUCAGUCAGUUAAACACCCAGCUCUUAUUUUGGCUCAGGUCACAAUCUCAAGGAUUCUUUACAAAUGUCUUAAAUCUCACUAACAAAGAUGAUUGAUAGCAGGAUUAUGACAUCCCACCAAACAGUCUCCAACUAUCUUAAUGUUAAUGGCCGGCCUAAAGAUGACAUUGACCAAGCUGGGCAAGGCCUCCAGUAUCCUGGCACCUUGUAGGUCCUCUUUAGCAUAAGAAAACUCCGUUGAAACCUUUUCCCUCACCUUCCCCCAACUGCAGGGUACAUAACCUGCCAUCCCUCACAACCAGGGGCAGCAGCUCUUCCUGCCCACGGGUCCUGUCCCCGUGCUUUAAUAAACCA
Molecule: long non-coding RNA, 1035 nt
Filed under: Mustela putorius furo (domestic ferret)
Lineage: Eukaryota; Metazoa; Chordata; Mammalia; Carnivora; Mustelidae
Description: lncRNA (ENSMPUG00000030063.1)
Source: RNAcentral